RNAcentral lists this ribosomal RNA (253 nucleotides) under uncultured bacterium. RNAcentral's name for it is "partial 16S ribosomal RNA". It matches the Rfam family "Bacterial small subunit ribosomal RNA", at positions 524 to 776 of the family's 1533-position model. The record is from RNAcentral.
UACGUAGGGGGCAAGCGUUGUCCGGAUUUAUUGGGCGUAAAGCGCGUGUAGGCGGCCAGGUAGGUCUGCUGUGAAAACUCGAGGCUCAACCUCGAGAUGUCGGCGGAAACCCUCUGGCUAGAGUCCGGAAGAGGAGAGUGGAAUUCCCGGUGUAGCGGUGAAAUGCGCAGAUAUCGGGAAGAACACCCGUGGCGAAAGCGGCUUACUGGGUCUCUUCUGACGCUGAGGAACGAAAGCUAGGGGAGCGAACGGG